UUCCCUAUGGCUCAGCAGUAAAGAAUCUGCCUGCAAUGCAGGAGAUCCAGGUUUGAUUCCUGGGUCGGAAA
RNAcentral lists this transfer RNA (71 nucleotides) under Ovis aries (sheep). It matches the Rfam family "tRNA". Rfam says of the family: Transfer RNA (tRNA) molecules are approximately 80 nucleotides in length. The record is from Rfam by way of RNAcentral. Lineage: Eukaryota; Metazoa; Chordata; Mammalia; Artiodactyla; Bovidae.